GGGCCCGUAGCUCAGGGGUAGAGCAGCCGGCUCAUAACCGGUCGGUCGCAGGUUCGAUCCCUGCCGGGCCCA
Molecule: transfer RNA, 72 nt
Filed under: Candidatus Acetothermia bacterium
Lineage: Bacteria; Candidatus Bipolaricaulota
Also listed under: 1 other name
Description: tRNA-Met
Rfam family: tRNA
About the family: Transfer RNA (tRNA) molecules are approximately 80 nucleotides in length.
Source: RNAcentral